CCCUCCUUCAAUCAAUGAAAUUAAUCUUCCUGUGAAAAAGCAGGAAUAAAAUUAUAAGACGAAAAGACCCUAUGGAGCUUUAAACUUAUUACCACUUAUUUAGUUACAUAACAAUUUAAAUAAUAAGACUGUUCUUUAAUAGUUUUCGGUUGGGGCGACCCUGGAGAAAAAUAAAUCCUCCAGAUUGAAAAAUAACCCUUAUAUAAGAACCACAAUUCAAAUAAACAAAAAUUUGACAAAACUGACCCAGAAUAACUGAUCAGUGAACCAAGUUACCCUAGGGAUAACAGCGCUAUCCAUUUUGAGAGUCCGUAUUGACAAAUGGGUUUACGACCUCGAUGUUGGAUCGGGGUAUCCCAGCAGCGCAGCAGUUGCUAAUGGUUCGUUUGUUCAACGACUAACACCCCACGUGAUCUGAGUUCAAACMRGAUCNCCUGUUUACCAAAAAC
Molecule: ribosomal RNA, 449 nt
Filed under: Hyperolius rubrovermiculatus
Lineage: Eukaryota; Metazoa; Chordata; Amphibia; Anura; Hyperoliidae
Description: partial 16S ribosomal RNA
Rfam family: Bacterial large subunit ribosomal RNA
Source: RNAcentral